Molecule: ribosomal RNA, 599 nt
Filed under: uncultured bacterium
Lineage: Bacteria
Description: bacterial SSU rRNA
Rfam family: Bacterial small subunit ribosomal RNA
Source: RNAcentral
GGAUGCUUACACAUGCAAGUCGAACGGCAGCACGGGGGGUACCCUGGUGGCGAGUGGCGAACGGGUGAGUAAUAUAUCGGAACAUGCCCUGUAGCGGGGGAUAACGCGUCGAAAGAUGUGCUAAUACCGCAUACGCUCUACGGAGGAAAGCGGGGGUCGCAAGACCUCGCACUAUAGGAGUGGCCGAUAUCGGAUUAGCUAGUUGGCGGGGUAAAAGCCCACCAAGGCGACGAUCCGUAGCUGGUCUGAGAGGAUGAUCAGCCACACUGGAACUGAGACACGGUCCAGACUCCUACGGGAGGCAGCAGUGGGGAAUUUUGGACAAUGGGCGCAAGCCUGAUCCAGCCAUGCCGCGUGAGUGAAGAAGGCCUUCGGGUUGUAAAGCUCUUUCGGAGGAACGAAAAUGGUCCGUGCUAAUACCACGGAUUGAUGACGGUACCUGAAGAAGAAGCACCGGCUAACUACGUUGCCAGCAGCCGGGGUAAUACGUAGGGUGCACGGCGUUAAUCGGAAUUACUGGGGCGUAAAGCGGUGCGGCCAGGCAGGGUUCCUUAAGGUCACGAUGUGAAAAUCCCCGGGGCUUAACCUGGGAACUGCGU